AUUGAACGCUGGCGGCAGGCCUAACACAUGCAAGUCGAGCGGAUGAAGGGAGCUUGCUCCUGGAUUCAGCGGCGGACGGGUGAGUAAUGCCUAGGAAUCUGCCUGGUAGUGGGGGAUAACGUCCGGAAACGGGCGCUAAUACCGCAUACGUCCUGAGGGAGAAAGUGGGGGAUCUUCGGACCUCACGCUAUCAGAUGAGCCUAGGUAGGAUUAGCUAGUUGGUGGGGUAAAGGCCUACCAAGGCGACGAUCCGUAACUGGUCUGAGAGGAUGAUCAGUCACACUGGAACUGAGACACGGUCCAGACUCCCACGGGAGGCAGCAGUGGGGAAUAUUGGACAAUGGGCGAAAGCCUGAUCCAGCCAUGCCGCGUGUGUGAAGAAGGUCUUCGGAUUGUAAAGCACUUUAAGUUGGGAGGAAGGGCAGUAAGUUAAUACCUUGCUGUUUUGACGUUACCAACAGAAUAAGCACCGGCUAACUUCGUG
This 484-nucleotide ribosomal RNA is filed under the name uncultured bacterium. RNAcentral's name for it is "partial 16S ribosomal RNA". It matches the Rfam family "Bacterial small subunit ribosomal RNA", at positions 30 to 507 of the family's 1533-position model. The record is from RNAcentral.